This 180-nucleotide ribosomal RNA is filed under the name uncultured Glomeromycotina. RNAcentral's name for it is "partial small subunit ribosomal RNA". Lineage: Eukaryota; Fungi; Glomeromycota. The record is from RNAcentral.
GCUCUGGCUGGGCGGUCCACCUUUGGAUGGUACUGCUCUAGCUGGGGUUUACCUUUCUGGUGAGCCGCGAUGCCCUUUACUGGGUGUCGCGGGGAACCAGGACUUUUACCUUGAAAAAAUUAGAGUGUUUAAAGCAGGCAUCCGCUUGAAUACAUUAGCAUGGAAUAACAGAAUAAGACU